This 468-nucleotide ribosomal RNA is filed under the name uncultured bacterium. RNAcentral's name for it is "partial 16S ribosomal RNA". It matches the Rfam family "Bacterial small subunit ribosomal RNA", at positions 28 to 507 of the family's 1533-position model. The record is from RNAcentral.
GACGAACGCUGGCGGCGUGCUUAACACAUGCAAGUCGAACGGACAGGCCCUGCUUUUGUGGGGUGCUCGAGUGGCGAACGGGUGAGUAACACGUGUGUAACCUGCCCUUGACUUUGGGAUAACUUCAGGAAACUGGGGCUAAUACCGGAUAGGAGCUACUGCUGCAUGGUGGGGGUUGGAAAGUUUCGGCGGUUGGGGAUGGACUCGCGGCUUAUCAGCUUGUUGGUGGGGUAGUGGCUUACCAAGGCUUUGACGGGUAGCCGGCCUGAGAGGGUGAACGGCCACAUUGGGACUGAGAUACGGCCCAGACGCCAACGGGAGGCAGCAGUGGGGAAUAUUGCACAAUGGGCGGAAGCCUGAUGCAGCAACGCCGCGUGCGGGGUGACGGCCUUCGGGUUGUAAACCGCUUUCGCCUGUGACGAAGCGUGAGUGACGGUAAUGGGUAAAGAAGCACCGGCUAACUACGUG